CUUUCGGUACUCAGCGCAGGCAGGGUUCAGUGCAGCAAGUAACAGCUGUGGCUUACUGGAUUGUCUGCAACCAUUGGCGACUGAGAGAUCCCUGCAGCCCUCCCAGACCCUCGAUCUGACUGGAGCCAGGCCCACGUGGGGAAAGGGUUAAACGUUGGCAGUGACUUCACCCCUGCAUUGGAGCAGGCGGAGGCAGAGUAGGAACCUGCUGGAAGCUGUUCUGAACCAGAGAAGGAUGAAAAUAGCUGCCAAAGAUGUUGCCAUAGCAACUGCUUUCCUUCCUGACCUCCUUGGAAGUGAACUCCCUCAUUUUCCAGAGUAGUCAAGGAAUUUCUGUGCCUCUACCCAUGGCUUUGGUUACCAACUCAUCCCUGGGGGCCUUGGUUUCUUUCUGUGAAAUGGAAUAUUCAUUCCAGCACUCACCACCUUCUAGGCUGGAGUAAGGCUCCAACUUUGCAAAUGCUGUUAGUAAACUGUAGAGCUCCGUGCACUUCCACGUGUCUUUACUUGACCAACACUGACACUCCCUUGGGCUAAUGGCUCUAUAAAUUGGAGGAUGGGGCAGCUGACUUGUUCAACAAGCCCAGAGCCCCAGGACAGAGGACCCCUUUGGAGUUUGAUUCCUGUUCUGUCACCAAAAGCCCCUGGGACCUUCAGCAGGUCACGCAGGCCCCCAGGGACUCAUUUUCUCCUGUAAAAGGACGCCUCUCUAGUUAACUCAAGAGGCCCCUUCCAGCUCUGACAUUCCAUGACCCUAAGUUAAAGGCCAGCCUGCUUUCCGUAAUAAAUCUGUGGAACUUACCAUCCAUAUAGGAGGUGAAAA
Homo sapiens (human) is the source of this 823-nucleotide long non-coding RNA. RefSeq annotates it as long independently transcribed non-coding RNA 2736. The record is from RefSeq and is marked validated. The transcript is spliced from 3 exons. Lineage: Eukaryota; Metazoa; Chordata; Mammalia; Primates; Hominidae.